GGCGAUGGGGAAAUAACGGUGCACGGUGGUAGGUCGGGUGGGGUCGAGCGUUGGGUAUGUGAACAAUGGGUGUGUGUUGUGCAACGGGGAAAGGGAGAAUAGGCGAAGGGGAUGUUGGAAUGGUUGGUCGUGGGGUGUGGGCACUUUUGGUGGGUGGUUCGAAUGAGGGGAAAGGGAAUAGGGGAAAUGGUGGGUAUGGGGCUGUGUCGUGAAAAGGGCGAGGGAGAGGAGAUGAUAGAGGCUGAGGGAGGGUAGUGUCUCGAAUAGGAGAGGAAGGGGGACGGAACGACGGCCGGAAAGGAGCGACGGCUAGGGUUUGUGGGUAGAAUUUGGAGAGGAGGAUGACAAACUUAGAAAAC
This 359-nucleotide long non-coding RNA is filed under the name Gossypium raimondii (Peruvian cotton). RNAcentral describes it as "long non-coding RNA (GRAI_LNC000277)". The record is from RNAcentral. Lineage: Eukaryota; Viridiplantae; Streptophyta; Magnoliopsida; Malvales; Malvaceae.